CGUGCUAAUCUGCGAUAAGCGUCGGUAAGGUGAUAUGAACCGUUAUAACCGGCGAUUUCCGAAUGGGGAAACCCAGUGUGACUCGUCACACUAUCAUUACGUGAAUACAUAGCGUAAUGAAGCGAACCGGGGGAACUGAAACAUCUAAGUACCCCGAGGAAAAGAAAUCAACCGAGAUUCCCCCAGUAGCGGCGAGCGAACGGGGAGCAGCCCAGAGUCUGAAUCAGCUUGUGUGUUAGUGGAACGGUCUGGAAAGUCCGACGGUACAGGGUGAUAGUCCCGUACACCAAAAUGCACAGGUUGUGAACUCGA
RNAcentral lists this ribosomal RNA (312 nucleotides) under Salmonella enterica. Its description in RNAcentral is "partial 23S ribosomal RNA". It matches the Rfam family "Bacterial large subunit ribosomal RNA", at positions 57 to 411 of the family's 2925-position model. Lineage: Bacteria; Pseudomonadati; Pseudomonadota; Gammaproteobacteria; Enterobacterales; Enterobacteriaceae. The record is from RNAcentral.